Molecule: ribosomal RNA, 444 nt
Filed under: uncultured bacterium
Lineage: Bacteria
Description: SSU rRNA
Rfam family: Bacterial small subunit ribosomal RNA
Source: RNAcentral
AGAGCGAACGCUGGCGGCAGGCCUAAUACAUGCAAGUCGAACGGAUCCUUCGGGAUUAGUGGCGGACGGGUGAGUAACACGUGGGAACGUGCCCUUUGGUUCGGAACAACUCAGGGAAACUUGAGCUAAUACCGAAUGUGCCCUUCGGGGGAAAGAUUUAUCGCCAUUGGAGCGGCCCGCGUCUGAUUAGCUAGUUGGUGAGGUAAAGGCUCACCAAGGCUUCGAUCAGUAGCUGGUCUGAGAGGAUGAUCAGCCACACUGGGACUGAGACACGGCCCAGACUCCUACGGGAGGCAGCAGUAGGGAAUCUUGCGCAAUGGGCGAAAGCCUGACGCAGCCAUGCCGCGUGAAUGAUGAAGGUCUUAGGAUUGUAAAAUUCUUUCAGCGGGACGAUAAUGACGGUACCCGCAGAAGAAGCCCGGCUAACUUCGUGCCAGCAGCCGC